Molecule: signal recognition particle RNA, 266 nt
Filed under: Christensenella timonensis
Lineage: Bacteria; Bacillati; Bacillota; Clostridia; Christensenellales; Christensenellaceae
Description: Bacterial large signal recognition particle RNA
Rfam family: Bacterial large signal recognition particle RNA
About the family: The signal recognition particle (SRP) is a universally conserved ribonucleoprotein involved in the co-translational targeting of proteins to membranes. Archaeal SRP consists of a 7S RNA and homologues of the eukaryotic SRP19 and SRP54 proteins.
Source: RNAcentral
CCGUACUAGACGGGGAGUUAGCGGUGUCCUGUAACCCGCAAGCCGCUAUAGCGGGGUUGAAUUCCGCGCCGAGGGUUUCUCUCGUAAGGUAUGGAGCACAUCGCUUGAUGUUGAUGGAUGGGUCCUGUGCAACGCUGCGUUGUGAACCCUGUCAGGUCCUGACGGAAGCAGCAGUAAGCAAAUUGCCGCGUGUGCCGCAGGCGUGCCUGUUCUGAGUCAACGAUGUGAUUUCCUCUCAUGAGAGCAAAUUCGGAGCGUGGUGUACG